AAAGCACAACCCGUGAUUACUUACUAUAUAACCUGUAGCUUCACGGUAGCUCAUAGCUAGCUAGCUACAAUAAUACAGCUGUGUCCCCGAGCGUCAGUUAUCAGAAGGUCAGACAGACAGACGAACCCAAAACAUGUCAGGGUUGCGGUGUCAUAUGUCGCUGCCCGUGUCGGUGGGGGUCUUGUUGGUGGGCCUCCCUUACUCCAUCUCUCUAGCUGCCCAGUGGCUUUACGGCUGGCCCAGCAAGCCGGGAUACAAGAAGUACAUAGAAGCUCUGAAACCACGACGAAUAUACUGUUUGACCAGAGCUGUGCUGGAGACUCUCAAAUACCUGCAAUAUGGGCGACUUUACUUUCAGUGGAAGUCAUGGUACAAGAAUGAGGAAAACCGCAAGCACUAUGAGAAGGGCAUCACAUUUGGCCGCAGAAACAACAAGCUGGACUUGUACCACCCUCCAAACGUGGACGGGUCAAAGGUGUGCCGGCGCCGCUGGUGGUGUUUCAUCUACGGGGGGAGCGUGGGGCUCCGGAGAUCGAUCCAUUUACUGUUUGAUGGCGAGGCAGAUGGCGAAAGAACUGAGUGCAACUGUCAUUUGUCCUGAUUACUUUGUCUAUCCGAAGGUAGGAGAACCAUACACUGUAGUCUGAGUAGUUUGAGCACACGAGUAUGAGUGACUGGAAAAUGAACGGUUUCUCAUAACUUUGUGAACAGGUAAGAAUUGUACUGCCGCUGUGGUGUCUGGACUGACUGCUCAUUCCAUCUGAUUGCUGAUACAGGCGAACGUUUUAGGCAUGAUCCAAGAUAUUGUGGACUGCCUCAUUUGGGCCCGAGAGAGUGGACAGAAGUUCAACUUUGAUAAAGACAACAUAGUAUUAAUCGGCCAUUCGGCAGGUGCUCAUUUGUGCACAUUGGCCGCGCUGUUUCUCAUUGACGGACGAGAGGAGCUUUUCAUAGAGGCAAGCAAGCAGGCGGACGUCACAGAGGCCAUAAGAGGAGUCAUUGGUCUGAGUGGCGUGUACAACAUCGUGGACCAUUACGAGCACGAGCAGAAGCGGGGAGUCGAGUACGUCUCCACCAUGCACAAAGCCAUGAAUGGAGUGGAGAACUUCCCGUACUACUCGCCGACACACUUACUGAAGAGGCUGAGCCGGGACAAGCUGGACAGAAUCCCUCCGUUUGCUCUGCUCCACGGGACCGACGACAUCAUCGUCCCCUUCGAUUCCUCCGCAAAGUUCUGCGACCUCCUCACCUCGCUGUCCGUGAAGGUGUCGCUCUACCUGCUCCCCCGCGUCGACCACACCGAGAUCGUCACCGACCUCAUGGUGCCCGACCGCCGCUUCUACCACCCCAUCUACAGCUGCAUCAAGCAGGAGCACAGGAAGCUGCUGGGGGCCUGGUGACGACCCGUCAGGAGAACACCCACCACUCGUCCAUCCAUCACUCGUAUUUACUGAUUGUGCCAUAUACUUGCUUUGUUUACGUCCCAUGCUCUAAUACCUCAACAUGAAUCGUGUUUAGCAUGGAUUUUUACUUGAUUGUGAUUCCGUGAUCAUGAUGUUUUUGAACAGAUUUUAAUUUGGUAAAUCUAAGGGUUACAUGUCAGUGAUUUUUCAUCUACAUUCUUUAAAAAUAAUAUUCCUUGUGGAAUGCAGUGUAGAUAACAUCAUUCUAAUGUUGUGUUGGAGAGAUGUUAGCUAGCUCACAGUAAAGGGAAAUCAAUCCAUAAGUGUUAUAAAAAGGACAGUGAAGCAGACUGAUACAUGCCGUGCAGUGAUACUGAUAAAGGAGCACAGUUACGACAGUACUGACUGCAACAUUUUGUCUAAUUGACUUUGGUGUUUUUAUUCAAUUAAAUUGUAAUAUAUUUUCCUGAAAAAAUAUUUAUUCAUCGUAGACACAUUAAACUCAUUCGAAUUAAACUAAUAUGACUACAAAUUGCUUGCACAAUGGAAUAUUGUACUUAAAUGUUUUGCCCAGCAAAAGCACUUAAAGAUUGUUAAUUGUACAAUUUUACAUUGUUUUUAACAUGUGCUUGUACUUUUGUUUCGGAAAGUUUUGUAUCAGAAGCGUGUCCCAUACAUACCAUACAUUUAAAAUGUCAUCAGGUAAUGGUUGUUGAAAACAUAAAUAUACUUUGUUGCAAUGUAUAAAACUCCAUUAAACCAUAUAAUGUAAGAGAACAUGCACAUCAUGAUUCCAUUCCAUGCAGUCACUGCAUAUGAGCGCCUAAUGGAAGUGAAAAUGGCCAUGGGACAUGUAACCAAAUAUUAGCACUGCUCUAUGUACUGUAUAUUUUUGACCCAGCAGAUGUUGUCACUUUUUCUGUUAUCCCAUAAUAAAGUCAUAAAAG
Molecule: long non-coding RNA, 2350 nt
Organism: Gasterosteus aculeatus aculeatus (three-spined stickleback)
Lineage: Eukaryota; Metazoa; Chordata; Actinopteri; Perciformes; Gasterosteidae
Source: Ensembl